AUAAUUUGGUAUUUAGAAUUACUAAUUUGGUAUUUUAGUGACAAACUGUUGUAUGGAAUUUAGGAGAACGCGUUCCCAAGCUAUAUAUUAUAUGUAUUUCAUUCUUUCAUAUGUUAUAUUAUGAAUUGUUAUAAAAAAGACCAAUGAGCAACGGUUUAAGGUUUAAUCAGUAAUCGAUCCGACCAAUCAUAUACAAGUUCCUAACACAUCUUCUAACUACUGAGUAAAAUAGUAAUGCUAUUACAAAGGUUUUUUCUUUUCAAAAUACAGCCUAAUGCUACUACAAAAUUCUAAUGUUAUAAAAUAAUCAUAGGAGAAGUAAACCCCGGGUUCAAAAAGAGAGAGGAUAGGUCUUCUUCUUCUGUAAUUUGCUGGGACCGCAAGUCAUGUGAGGCUGCUCUGCUGAUGCUGCACGGCGUCGCAACUCUCUCAAUAAAUUCUUUUAACUAACGCUCCAAUUUUCGAUGUAAAUUGGCUGACUUCAAUUCUAUGCCUUACUCUUGUACUCUAUGUUUCUUUAUCUAUUAAAAUCCAACUCUGCUUUUGAACCCAAAAAACAAAACAAAAACCAACUCUGCUGAAUCAUGAAACACGUCCUUGAUCUUUAUUUUUAUUUUUUCCCAAUAUAUGCUC
This is a long non-coding RNA of Arabidopsis thaliana (thale cress), 633 nucleotides long. RefSeq annotates it as other RNA. NCBI's taxonomy places the organism in Eukaryota, Viridiplantae, Streptophyta, Magnoliopsida, Brassicales, Brassicaceae. The record is from RefSeq. The transcript has 2 exons.